GACGAACGCUGGCGGCGUGCCUAACACAUGCAAGUCGAACGGAAAGGCCCUGCUCUUGCGGGGUGCUCGAGUGGCGAACGGGUGAGAAACACGUGAGUAAACCGCACUUGAAUUAGGGAUAAAUUCAGGAAAAUGGGGAUCAUAUCGGAUAGGAGCUCUUGCUCCACGGUGGGCGUUGGUAAGUGUGGGCGGUUGGGGAUGGACUAGAGGCUACUCGGCUUGUUGGUGGGGUAGGGGCGUACCAAGUUUUCGAGGGGUACCCGGCCUGGGAGGGUAGCCGGCCACAUUACGCCUGAGAGACGGCCCAGACUCCAACCGGACGCAGCAGGGGAAAGUAUUGCGCAAUAGGCGGGAGCCAGAUGCGACGACGCCGCGUGCGGGAUGACGGCCUUCGGGUUGUAAACCACUUUCUCCUGUGACGAGGCGUGAUUGACGGUAAUGGGUAAGGAAGCACCGGCUAACUACGUG
This 468-nucleotide ribosomal RNA is filed under the name uncultured bacterium. RNAcentral's name for it is "partial 16S ribosomal RNA". It matches the Rfam family "Bacterial small subunit ribosomal RNA", at positions 28 to 507 of the family's 1533-position model. The record is from RNAcentral.